AAAAGCUGAAGUUUCUGUUGCUAUAUAUUGAUAUACAUAAUAACAUAUGGUGUCUGUAUAUCCAACACCACCGGGUCAAGAUUUUCACUACAUGGGGGAUCCGAUGAAAACGGGUCUUAUGGGUUUGCAUCCGGUGCAGUCGGGUACUAGUAUACAUGGGAAUUUGAAUUUGGAUUCGAAUACAGGUUUGGUGGUGUCUGAUGAUCACAGCAAGAAGACACGGAAGCCUUAUACGAUUACUAAGUCUAGGGAGAGUUGGACUGAGCAGGAGCAUGACAAGUUUCUUGAAGCUCUUCAAUUGUUCGACCGUGAUUGGAAAAAGAUUGAAGCAUUUGUUGGGUCGAAGACUGUUAUCCAGAUACGUAGCCAUGCACAG
Molecule: unclassified non-coding RNA, 376 nt
Filed under: Hevea brasiliensis (rubber tree)
Lineage: Eukaryota; Viridiplantae; Streptophyta; Magnoliopsida; Malpighiales; Euphorbiaceae
Source: RNAcentral